RNAcentral lists this ribosomal RNA (398 nucleotides) under uncultured bacterium. RNAcentral's name for it is "bacterial SSU rRNA". It matches the Rfam family "Bacterial small subunit ribosomal RNA", at positions 29 to 406 of the family's 1533-position model. The record is from RNAcentral.
AGCGAACGCUGGCGGCGUGCUUAACACAUGCAAGUCGAGGGAGAACGGAGGGCUUCGGCCUUCUUAGUAAACCGGCGCACGGGUGAGUAACACGUAGGUAACCUACCUCCGAGUUCGGGAUAACCUGUCGAAAGAUAGGCUAAUACCGGAUAAGACCACGAUGGCUUCGGCCACUGCGGUCAAAGAUGGCCUCUAUUUAUAAGCUAUCGCUUGGGGAUGGGCCUGCGCACCAUUAGCUAGUUGGUGAGGUAAUGGCUCACCAAGGCUACGAUGGUUAGUUGGUCUGAGAGGAUGACCAGCCACACUGGGACUGAGACACGGCCCAGACUCCUACGGGAGGCAGCAGUGGGGAAUAUUGCGCAAUGGGGGAAACCCUGACGCAGCGACGCCGCGUGGGU